UACGUAGGGUGCAAGCGUUAAUCGGAAUUACUGGGCGUAAAGCGUGCGCAGGCGGUUUUGUAAGUCUGUCGUGAAAUCCCCGGGCUCAACCUGGGGAAUGGCAAUGGAUACUGGCAAGCUAGAGUGCGGUAGAGGGUAGUGGAAUUCCCCGGUGUAGCGGUGAAAUGCGUAGAGAUCGGGAGGAACACCAGUGGCGAAGGCGGCUACCUGGACCAGCACUGACACUGAGGCACGAAAGCGUGGGGAGCAAACAG
This 254-nucleotide ribosomal RNA is filed under the name uncultured bacterium. RNAcentral describes it as "partial 16S ribosomal RNA". It matches the Rfam family "Bacterial small subunit ribosomal RNA", at positions 524 to 775 of the family's 1533-position model. The record is from RNAcentral.